GAUCGUGGCUCAGGACGAACGCUGGCGGCGUUGCCUAAUACAUGCAAGCUCGAACGAACGGAGAAAGAAGCUUGCUUUUUUCAAAGUUAGUGGCGAACGGGUGAGUAACACGUGGGUAACCUGCCCAUCAGAGGGGGAUAACAUUCGGAAACGGAUGCUAAAACCGCAUAGGUUCCUUAGUUGCAUGACUGAGGAAGGAAAAGAGGCGUAAGCUUCUGCUGGUGGAUGGACCCGCGGUGCAUUAGCUAGUUGGUGAGGUAACGGCUCACCAAGGCGAUGAUGCAUAGCCGACCUGAGAGGGUGAUCGGCCACAUUGGGACUGAGCACACGGCCCACAACUGCCAAUAGCUGGGAGGCAGCUACGUAGGGAAUCUUCCGCAAUGGACGCAAGUCUGACGGAGCAACGCCGCGUGAGUGAAGAAGGUUUUCGGAUCGUAAAACUCUGUUGUUAGAGAAGAAUAAGCAUAAUAGUAACUGAUUAUGCCGUGACGGUAUCUAACCAGAAAGCCACGGCUAACUACGUGCCAGCAGCCGCGGUAAUACGUAGGUGGCAAGCGUUGUCCGGAUUUAUUGGGCCGAUAAAGCGAGCGCAGGCGGUAUCCUUAAGUCUGAUGUGAACAG
Molecule: ribosomal RNA, 621 nt
Filed under: Granulicatella sp. cp08.23
Lineage: Bacteria; Bacillati; Bacillota; Bacilli; Lactobacillales; Carnobacteriaceae
Description: bacterial SSU rRNA
Rfam family: Bacterial small subunit ribosomal RNA
Source: RNAcentral